ACUUUCAUUUUCUUGUUUCAUUAUUUUCUUGUAUAAUUUAAUUACUUAGAAUAAAGUAGCAUGCUUAUUUUUUUGCUUAAAAUUUGUUUUUAUUAUUCUGGUAAAAAGAUUAGUUGAUAUUUCUGUAAAUUUUGCAUGGAUGCUUCAAAACAAAUAUUCUGUUUAUAAAGAUACUAGGUUUGAUAUUUAAUUUUAUAGUAUCCUAACUUUGCUUUUAACACUUUUGUCAUAAACAUGUACUUUCCCGUUAUUACUGUCUUGGCCAUUGUUUUUGCCUCAGUUGUUUUGGUAUCAUUGCUCAGGGCAUAGUCGAGAGCUGUCAUUACUGCAUUUUUUUCAGCUUUACUAAGAUUGAUGACUAUAGUUGUUAAGAUACGUGAAGUGUCCAUCACGAGUGGAUCUACAGUACAUCGAGGAAGGAUUCCUCCCAGCAAGUUAACAAACAUCCACCACCUCACAUGUGCCUCUUCCUGGCUGUGUGUGUGACCUACGAGUUCUCCCAGCACAUUUCACUCCUGUAAUACAGUAUUACCAACUGUAGUCACUACACGAUACAGGAGACCCUCAAACUUCAUUCAUCUUAGAGCUAAAAUUUCGUACCCUUUUAUAAAAUCCCAUUUCCUCCACCACCACUCUCCAGGCCCCAGCCCCUAGCAACUACUUUCCUACUCUGUUUCUAGGAAUUUGACUUUUCUUUUUCUUUUUUUUUUUUUUAGAUUCCAUACAUAAGUGAUGAUACCGUGCAAUAUUUGUCUUUCUUUGGCUUAUUUCACUAAGUAUAAUGCCCUCGAGAUCCACCCGUGUUGCAAAUGCAGAAUGUCUUUCUCAUGCCUGAAUCAUCCUCCAUUGCAUACAUUUACCACCGCUCCUUUAUCUUGUUCAUUCAUCGACUGCCACUUAGGUGUUCCCAUAUCUUAGCUGCUGUGGAUCAUGCUGAUGAAGCUGCAGUGCACAGUGGAGUUGAAGAAGUCCCUUUCACAUGGCCUAGUGGUGAUGAACUGCUUCAGCUCUUGCUUGUCCAGAAAACUGUCAUUCAAACCUGAAGAACAACUUUGCUGGGUAAGGAUUCACAAGAAUCAUUUGCCAGGAGGUUGUGUAUACGUCAUCUUUUCUGCCCCUUCCCUCUCCCACCGCUGUCUCAACCGGAAAAGGAGCGGCCCUUCUCGGAGCCACCGCUAAGCAGGCUCCACAUUUCAGGCUGCAGAGCUCCUGCCACACAAGACAAAACCCAUGGAGCCCCUUCUCUGGCUCUCAGUCAAGCUGCGGUCAGGAUUGGAGCUAUACCUUCAGAAUCCAGAACUGUUUCUCACCCUUGCUCUCCAGUGUGAUGCGUUCACUUUCAGAAGCUGUGUCAUUAUGUUCCUUUCUGAGAUCCACCACCCCAAUCGUUUCUGAUCCUCUCUUCCCAUAAUCCUCACUGAUUUCUGCUCAGCCUGGGUGCUGGUCUCAGAAGUUCCCUCCCAGGGGGAGGCCCUCUCCUUCUGAAAAGGAGUAUUUGCUGGAAUCCUCUGAGAUCCUUCAGCACCGUCUCUUCCUGUGACCCCCUUAGCAACUUCCCUUAGAGACAGUGACAGCUUGGAGUAUGUAGGUUUUCUCCGUUUUUCGUUUUACUCUAAGACUGGCUCCCAGCAAUUCCCUUUCAGAAUGGAGACCUCUCCUAGUAGUGAAUUAUCUGAAUUCUAGAACCAGUACCUUUAGUAUUUUUUCUCUGCCACGGCAACCUCCCACUUUGUGGUUACCAUACCAAGUGUGAGUGAGCAUCCUACUUAAAAAUAAUUACAUAGUUUGUGUCUGUUCCACUGAAGUUCUGAGCAACCCACACACCAAACUGUUUUCAGAAGUUGGAAGAUUUGGGGGCCCCCUUGGUGGCUCAGUCGGUUAAGCAUCCGACUUCAGCUCAGGUCAUGAUUUGGGGGUCCUGGGAUACAGCCCUGCAGUAGGCUCCCCACUCAAUUGGGGAGCCCCUCCCUCCACUCACGCUCUCUCAAAUAAAAUCUUAAAAAAAAAAAAAAAAGCUUGGUUUCAGAUCUUCCUAUCUUGUCUCCAGGCCUCCUCAGAUGCAUAACAUUUAAAACCCAAACCCUGCAGCUUUGCUUGCAGCGGAACGGAAGCCGGUACAGUGGGGUACUGCCCCUCACUUGGU
Long non-coding RNA from Zalophus californianus (California sea lion), 2143 nucleotides. RefSeq lists it as uncharacterized. NCBI's taxonomy places the organism in Eukaryota, Metazoa, Chordata, Mammalia, Carnivora, Otariidae. The record is from RefSeq and is a predicted model, not a curated record. The transcript is spliced from 4 exons.